AUAGACUUUUCAGUGCCAGGCAACCAUUGCGCUGUAGAGAAGUGGAACAACAUUCAUGGUACUGCUAUUGUUAAUCGAAAGAACUUUCUUUUGUUAACAUGGUACCCACUAACGUGUGCAUAUGCAUUUUUCUCCUGUAGUCCUAGAGGGAUAAAGACACAUAUAAUUACGAUGGAGGUGACAGGCCUGAAAAUGUGAGAAUUGAAGCAAUACAUUCCCUUGUAUAUAUGUUUUCUCUUUUGAAAUAUCUCAAUAGUUUUCCAAUUUGUUUCCUGUAAAUCUCAUAUUUUAAUACUCCUUAGACCUUAGUAAUGCAUAGGUGUAAUAUUUGUUGAUAUUGCAAUUUUGAAGGAUCUGCUUUUCUUGUAUAGAUCUAUUUUUUUAAUCUUGAAGGCAGUACGAGAGGCCCUAAUGACAUAUAUACAGUACUAACAAGAAUAUGGGGGCUUUCAUAACUUGAGGUAGCUUCCAUCUUCUUGUUGUGUAUUUAUUUUUCUUAGAUGAAAAUCUUACACCAAGAAGUGGGGUCUCUCAGAAAAUUAUCAUUGUUAUUCUCCUUUUCAUUGUUUGGGCUUUUUUUCUCAAUAUAUGCUUCUACAAAAAAAAUGUAGGUCGGCCCCAUGUUGCCACCGUGGCCGGUGACUCGGGUGGAUCCAAUCCCCCCGGCCUCCAGGGUCAUUGUGCCCUCUCUCCAUUACCUCCUUCGUCGCUGGAGGAUGCUGACGGGCUAAGCCUAGGGGGUCGACGAUGAUGGCGGAGGCUCCUGCCUUCACUGCAUCGGUGGAUCACGCGGAAUCUCUGGGCACAUGGAGCAUUGCCAAAACCAGCACCAGGGUGGCGCUCGGCUGACUCCCGACGUUGGUUCCACACAAACACAUGGGGAGGGGAACUAUAUGUUACAAUCUGAAAAUGGCUAAGGAGACAUCAGAUCUACCUUCUUGGCUCGGAGGGUGUCAUGGGUGGCGCACAACUCCCCCCUAUCGACAGAAACACAUGGGGAGGGGAACAGAACAGAGAGCGGGGCGGUUGGCGGGGGACUCCUCGGCGGUCCGUGGGGAAAUACAAUGUGAAGAAGAGAGUGCGACAUGACGAAGGUGAGAUGGGCGUUAUCUGGUUUCAAUGGAGAGGGCUCCAGUGAAAAAUGUCCCGUUAUGGCGGGAAACGAGUGGGGAGGUGAGGGUUCGGCAGGGAAAGAGAAGGGUGCGUCGUGGGUGUGGUUUUUUUUAAUUUGUUCGGCGCGCACUUGUUAGAGAUAACAUGGCCAAUAGUCUGGAUAACCAUAUUUCUUCCUCACAUAUGGAUAUGCAUGGAUUUGAAGAUACCCUAUUCUCGAGACGGUUGAAUUUUGGGGAUCCUGUUAGAUGUUCGUUUGAUGUACGUUCACACUCGAACGUAGGAGGGAGAAAUGAGCUUCCACUUUAGAAUUUAAUUAUUUUUUUGAUUUAUUUAUAUGCAUUGUAGUCCGUAGCAACGCACGGGCAUUCUACUGGACUGACAUAAAGUCAGUGAGUUCAAAAUUUCCAUGUUUAGUUUUGACUGAUGUUAUGGUUCUUCAUUGAGUUUUGUUCCAGGUAUUUACCUAGAUCCUUGAAAUGCUAUUCGUAUUGGCCUGAAUGCAGUUGAAUUCUGAAUCAUAAACAAGCUGGGAGAUUUGUCUUCCACAUAGUAGGUGCUGAUGCUUAUGAUUUUCUUCAAAAAAGAUAUGGGAAAGGCUAACCCAAUAUUUUAGUUUUCAUUAUGAGGACCAUGUACAUAAUCGACCAUAUAGUUCAAAAAAGAUCUAUUGGUGAAGGUUUGUUUGAGUUCCACUAUUUCAGUUCACACAUGUACAUGUUCUGUAUUUUUUGCAGUUUUUAGUGCAUGCUCGGAGAACAAGAUAAGAGGAGAGGCUUGAAUCUUGAGAUGACAAGGGUAGUCACCUGCUGCGACUAAAGGUUCAGUUUCAUACUUCUGAUGAUAUUGUUCGGAUGAUUGCCCUUGUACUAUUCUUUUUAGUACGUACUAAAAUAUCUUGUUGUACGAAAAUCUGAUUUCUACUAAAACUUUGUCAAGUGGCUCAUUUUUCUUGUACUAAUAUCUGAAUUUUUUUACUGAUUACUGAAAUGUACCUUGUUACUAAAACUUCAUAGGAAGGAGGUCAAUGAAGCAAAAGGCACGAAAAGGAAGGAGCAGCGCCACAGGGACGAUGUUGUCGGCAGCGCUUUGGAAGGAUUCGCUCCAGAGAAGUUACGGUAGUCGGCCAUCGCCCAGGGGAAGCGGGGAGGAUGUCGUUCGAAACGCCUGGGUCUAGAGGAGUGUGUCCAGGUGGUGGCCGAGGAUGGCGACGAGCAAUUGGGUUGAGCAUUUGUCAACGUGAUGGUGUCGUUGCUAAAG
RNAcentral lists this long non-coding RNA (2373 nucleotides) under Triticum aestivum (bread wheat). RNAcentral describes it as "long non-coding RNA (TAES_LNC022920)". Lineage: Eukaryota; Viridiplantae; Streptophyta; Magnoliopsida; Poales; Poaceae. The record is from RNAcentral.